RNAcentral lists this transfer RNA (71 nucleotides) under Sarcina sp. DSM 11001. It matches the Rfam family "tRNA". From Rfam's summary of the family: Transfer RNA (tRNA) molecules are approximately 80 nucleotides in length. Their secondary structure includes four short double-helical elements and three loops (D, anti-codon, and T loops). Further hydrogen bonds mediate the characteristic L-shaped molecular structure. tRNAs have two regions of fundamental functional importance: the anti-codon, which is responsible for specific mRNA codon recognition, and the 3' end, to which the tRNAs corresponding amino acid is attached (by aminoacyl-tRNA synthetases). tRNAs cope with the degeneracy of the genetic code in two manners: having more than one tRNA (with a specific anti-codon) for a particular amino acid; and 'wobble' base-pairing, i.e. permitting non-standard base-pairing at the 3rd anti-codon position. The record is from Rfam by way of RNAcentral. Lineage: Bacteria; Bacillati; Bacillota; Clostridia; Eubacteriales; Clostridiaceae.
AGCCCUUUGAUGUAAUGGAAACAUAUCAGAUUCUGACUCUGGAAUUGCAGGUUCAAAUCCUGUGAGGGCUG